AUGUCUCUGUGCUAUGGUUCAAGUGGUGACAUGCAGGUGUGGAAGUCAGAAAAUUCUGAGUUUGAAGCCAUUGUGCACUUCACCUCCACUUUUGCACACCUCCUAGACUUCAUUCAUCAAUACGCACUGCAAGUGACUUCCAGGGUUUUUAUCUUAAAAUCAGAUUACAGGUCACAGCACUGUAGUAUUCAGUGUGUGUAGGAUCCAGAAGAUGCGACCAGUAGUGGUGAGUGAGAAAACAGCCACCCAAAAUCCAGCCCUUAAGUAUUCGCUAUGGAGUAGGUGCCCUUGGGGCAUUCUUUUUUUUUUCCGCGUGUUCUGAUUUUCACCUGACUGCCCCAAUUAGACCAAAAUAUGUUCAUAUAGUAAAUACUGAAAUAACCUCAUCAAAAUACCAUGCACUGUGUCAAGUCUGUCACGCCACUCUGAGUUUCAACUCGCUAAUUAUCUUGAACAGCAUAUGGAAAUAAGGUAGCAUGAGGCCACGCAAAGUACUAUGAUUUUAACCAGCUCCUUUCUAAUGCCUUAGUCUUCAGAUAUCUCCUCCAAUGACUUUUAUCUUUUAAUCUGCCAUAAACAAAAAGAUUGCAUGAAUGCAACCAUCGUAGCGUUUGCUACCACUGUCUCCUCAGUGCAGCCUAUGGAUCAGUGAUGCUUCUUCAUUACUGUUUCAAGAGAACCAAAACAAUUCAAGAGUCAGUAUGAUGUUUCAGUGUGCAACCUACCCCUUACAAAGAUAUCACGGUGUUUAACAGAACGUGGAGACUUUCUGAUGCAGAUAUAUGUGCAUGCAUGCAUACACACAGGAAAAAGAAAAGGAAAAAAAAUAGAUUGCCCUUUCCUUGGAACUGCGGAAGUGUCAUCUCUGGCUUCAUUUUAUAAUCCCCAAGGAAUGUGCUUCUCUUUGACUUCAUCUGACCUUUAAGAGAACGGUCUGCUAAUGCUAACAGUGUACCACUGUGCCUGAAGCACACUGAAAAAUGAGACUGACUUCUGGAUAUGCGUAGUGCACACAAGCAAAGAAAGCCCUUUUAAUGCUGAACAGUGACAGUCAAACCACCGGAGGUUUGAGGUUCAGUUAUGCACACCAAACGGAUGAUUACCCAAACCUUUAACCAAAACUCUUUGUCCUUUUAACACAGAAGGAAGUCUUUCAAGAGAAGGUGUGGGAAUUCAAGCUUCUUGCUUUGUUGUACUCAGCUGGUUUGGCUUUAUUUUUUUCUGUGGAGAAGUUUCAGGUCUCUCUGGAACAGCUACCCUCCCAUGAUGCACGCUUUGCACAAAGGGCCAGCACUAGAACAAGUGCAGAGUACGUGAAAAUAACAAAAGAGAAUGAACUUGAAGAGCUUAACAAAGCUGCAAGACCAGAGCCUAGAAUGAGAGAUUCCAAUUAAAAUCUGAAAGAUUUGACAGAUACUUCGGAUGUAGUCUGAUCUACGUUUAGAAUUGACUCUGUUCUUUACGAAGUCCUUGAACUAAUUUUAUCUGGACUGAUUUGUAACAGACUACCCUGAGUGCUGUGUUAAAACAGUCCUGGGGAUCUUACACCCACACUGAUACACAGACUUCAAAUUUUAAGACUCUGAAUAGUUGGAGUUUUUUUCCUCUGGCAAACCGGCAGUAUGACCAAACAUCUCUUGCUAGCUCCCAUUAAAGGGAACAUAAUAUAGUGAUUCCACAAGGCAAACAAUAGGACAGCGCGUAAGACAGCACAUAUUAAAAGGAAAAUUUAAAAUAGCAGCCAAUAGAAUGCACACAAUUCUUACUCUAUUAAAUGUAAGGAAAAUACCAACAAACAUCACAACAAAGUACGUAAUUACAGUGCUUUCUGUGAGCACCCAGAAAUGGAAUUACCACUGAUACCACUGUCUAUACCAUUGACAGGGCAGCAGCAAAAGAAUGACUGAAACAACUGGGAUUAGAACAAAGUCAAGACUAUAUAUUCCACUGCCUUUCUUUACAUUCCUCCUCCACAGUAUCACAGAACUGCAGGAGUUGGAAGGAACCUCAAGAGAUGAUCGAGUGCAACCCCCCUGCUAAAGCAGUACCCUACAAUAGGCCGCGCAGAGAUGAACACUGAGUAUGGAACUGCAAAGAGGAAUUAGCUCCCAUCUACUGUUUAUUCUCCCUUACAACCCAAACCAGGACAAUAUGAGCACCCAAAACCAAAGUUUGCAAACAAAUCAAAGACAGGCUUGGAAACAACGUAUAUGUAUUUCUCAUGAGAUAAGACAGUCAAACUUUAAUCCACAGCGUUGGAUGUUACAGAUACAAGCACUAAACUUGCUUAAAAAAUACUGCACCUCAGUUUAGACUGUGAUGUGUUGGAAAAAAGGAAGAAUCAGAUAAACAUCAAACCUCCAGUGCUAAGUUCAGUCACUGUAAGAAUAUUUGCAGAUCAUCUCACUCAAACAGCAUGCUUCGUAUGACUCAGGUAAUAAACCCCAAGUUUAUGUUUGUGAUGUAUCAGCCAGUCUCUUAGGACAGUCUCUUGAAAUGUAUUGUAACUGCACAAAUAGAUUUUGUUACUUGCUGUGACUGUUAAAGAGAAAAGACGACUACGUAGGUGGGGAGACAGCAGAAAAGAAGUAAAAUAAGGCAAGUCCCAGCAAAGAGAAGCUUAUGGGAAAGUUGCUCCCCACCCUCACUACAACUACAUUUGUUUUUCACACAGCAGCCACGCUUUCAAAUGAUUAUUUCAAAUCCUACGGCACCAGACCAGCUUGCACAGGCUGAUAUCUAGCUCCAAGACCAGUACUCUAUUCUACUGCAAACCAUUUCAUCUUCACAAAUAGCUCAUCACCAUAAGAGUCUCAUAUGGACAGAAAGGUUCUCAUCUCUCGAGCUUCCCAUGAACUUUAAUUAAAUAACUUGUAGCAGGAGUCCAGGGGCACCAGCCUGGUUUUAAUUGUGUUUCAUUAAAGCAAGUACUGCUAUCGUCCAAACAAACUGUGAGUUCUCCAGUGUGGCCUGAACUACCUCUGCAAAACCCAUGUGAACUGCAAGUUCCAGCAUAUGCUAUUUGGAAUACAGUACUGUAAAGAAAUUAAAUGCUAAGGCUAGAUGGUCAAAUUUUAAAGCUACUUGAUUAAAAGCAAAACAAACU
Gallus gallus (chicken) is the source of this 3106-nucleotide long non-coding RNA. RefSeq lists it as uncharacterized. The transcript is spliced from 2 exons. The record is from RefSeq and is a predicted model, not a curated record. Lineage: Eukaryota; Metazoa; Chordata; Aves; Galliformes; Phasianidae.